Molecule: long non-coding RNA, 985 nt
Filed under: Salmo salar (Atlantic salmon)
Lineage: Eukaryota; Metazoa; Chordata; Actinopteri; Salmoniformes; Salmonidae
Description: lncRNA (ENSSSAG00000120320.1, ENSSSAG00075020983.1)
Source: RNAcentral
AAACAGCUCAACUAGCUCGACUCGGGAGCUCAUCAUGCCAGGGGACAUACUGUAGGCUUCCGGAGCCAGCUAGUUAUUAUUCCACCAUGGGCAACAACAACUAGUUACCAGUUCGUUUAACUAAAUAUGUUCCAACUCAUAGCUAGUUUAUCCAGUGACCACCGCAUUUAGAAAGAUAGCAACUGACUGAACUCUAGCAAGCUGGCUAGCUAGCAUGCUAGCUCACACUGGCCAUGUAGUAGCCAAUACCAGACCGGUUGUGGAAAGUGUCAUCUAGUAUGGAAAGGAGGCAACAAUGGCUCUCCCGACUGAAGAGUGAAUUCGGCAACAGCCCCUUGGUCUCCAACGUGGCUUUCGGCUUCAUCCUGAUGGGCUUGGAGAAGCUGGUUGAGCUGGAGUUCGAGUGUCCGUGCGACCCCAAAUGGAACGGGCUAUUUUCUUCCGCCUUCUUCGUCAUUCCUGCUAUCAUGGCCUUCAUGCUGAUGCUAAUCAUCCAGGACUGCAGGUACGACCUGAGCGGCUGCCCCAGGACAGUGUCCAUCUCCAGCCUGGUUCCGCCCAUCGUCUGGCUGAUCCUGCUCUUCCUGGAUGGACAGUACUUUGCGUGUGCGCUAACAGACUGGAACGGCAGGUUUGUGAUUGUUGACAAGGCGGCUCCUCAGAAGUGGUGUGAGCCUCCUCAUGACGAUGGCACGCUGCAGGAUCUCAUGGUGCACUCUCAGGAAUUAUUUGUGGAGUCUCAGUGAUGUCCUACCCCAGCCAAACCCGGACAACGCUGGGCCAAUUGUGCGCCGCCCUAUGGGACUCCCAAUCACGGCUGUUUGUGAUACAGCCUGGAUUCAAACCAGGGUGUCUGAAGUGACACCUCUAGCACUGAGUUGCAGUGCCUUAGACCGCUGCGCCACUCGGGAGCCCCAUGACCGACUCAUGUCCACUACAUCCACAAGAUGUAUUUUCUUCUAAUGAAGUCUUCUUCUUCUUCUAG